This 86-nucleotide small RNA is filed under the name Ornithobacterium rhinotracheale DSM 15997. Its description in RNAcentral is "Flavo-1 RNA". It matches the Rfam family "Flavo-1 RNA". The record is from Rfam by way of RNAcentral. Lineage: Bacteria; Pseudomonadati; Bacteroidota; Flavobacteriia; Flavobacteriales; Weeksellaceae.
GUUUGGUUGUGCGUGAGGGAUAGAGGCGGUAUCCUUUUUUGCCACUUUGUGUGGCAAAAAAGAUAUAGCCGAAAGCCCGACCCGUA